This 28-nucleotide non-coding RNA is filed under the name Rattus norvegicus (Norway rat). The record is from RNAcentral. Lineage: Eukaryota; Metazoa; Chordata; Mammalia; Rodentia; Muridae.
UGAAGACACCUCCACAUCAAUGGUACCC